Molecule: small nuclear RNA, 159 nt
Filed under: Castor canadensis (American beaver)
Lineage: Eukaryota; Metazoa; Chordata; Mammalia; Rodentia; Castoridae
Description: U1 spliceosomal RNA (ENSCCNG00000015260.1)
Rfam family: U1 spliceosomal RNA
About the family: U1 is a small nuclear RNA (snRNA) component of the spliceosome (involved in pre-mRNA splicing). Its 5' end forms complementary base pairs with the 5' splice junction, thus defining the 5' donor site of an intron.
Source: Rfam by way of RNAcentral
AUACUUAUCUGGCAGGGAGAUAAUGAUAUGAAGUGAUUUUCCCAGGGCGAGGUUUUAUCCAUUGCACUCAGGAUUUCUGACCCAUCGAGAUUUCCCAAAUGUGGGAAAUUCGACUGCAUAAUUUGUGGUAGUGGGAGACUGCAUACAUGCUCUCCCCUG